This 2901-nucleotide ribosomal RNA is filed under the name Klebsiella quasipneumoniae. RNAcentral describes it as "23S ribosomal RNA". It matches the Rfam family "Bacterial large subunit ribosomal RNA". The record is from RNAcentral. Lineage: Bacteria; Pseudomonadati; Pseudomonadota; Gammaproteobacteria; Enterobacterales; Enterobacteriaceae.
UUAAGCGACUAAGCGUACACGGUGGAUGCCCUGGCAGUCAGAGGCGAUGAAGGACGUGCUAAUCUGCGAAAAGCGUCGGUAAGGUGAUAUGAACCGUUAUAACCGGCGAUGUCCGAAUGGGGAAACCCAGUGUGAUUCGUCACACUAUCGUUAACUGAAUACAUAGGUUAACGAGGCGAACCGGGGGAACUGAAACAUCUAAGUACCCCGAGGAAAAGAAAUCAACCGAGAUUCCCCCAGUAGCGGCGAGCGAACGGGGAGCAGCCCAGAGUCUGAAUCAGCUUGUGUGUUAGUGGAACGGUCUGGAAAGUCCGACGGUACAGGGUGAUAGUCCCGUACACCAAAAUGCACAGGCUGUGAACUCGAAGAGUAGGGCGGGACACGUGGUAUCCUGUCUGAAUAUGGGGGGACCAUCCUCCAAGGCUAAAUACUCCUGACUGACCGAUAGUGAACCAGUACCGUGAGGGAAAGGCGAAAAGAACCCCGGCGAGGGGAGUGAAAAAGAACCUGAAACCGUGUACGUACAAGCAGUGGGAGCACCUUUAUGGUGUGACUGCGUACCUUUUGUAUAAUGGGUCAGCGACUUAUAUUCUGUAGCAAGGUUAACCGUAUAGGGGAGCCGCAGGGAAACCGAGUCUUAACUGGGCGUUAAGUUGCAGGGUAUAGACCCGAAACCCGGUGAUCUAGCCAUGGGCAGGUUGAAGGUUGGGUAACACUAACUGGAGGACCGAACCGACUAAUGUUGAAAAAUUAGCGGAUGACUUGUGGCUGGGGGUGAAAGGCCAAUCAAACCGGGAGAUAGCUGGUUCUCCCCGAAAGCUAUUUAGGUAGCGCCUCGUGAACUCAUCUUCGGGGGUAGAGCACUGUUUCGGCUAGGGGGUCAUCCCGACUUACCAACCCGAUGCAAACUACGAAUACCGAAGAAUGUUAUCACGGGAGACACACGGCGGGUGCUAACGUCCGUCGUGAAGAGGGAAACAACCCAGACCGCCAGCUAAGGUCCCAAAGUCAUGGUUAAGUGGGAAACGAUGUGGGAAGGCACAGACAGCCAGGAUGUUGGCUUAGAAGCAGCCAUCAUUUAAAGAAAGCGUAAUAGCUCACUGGUCGAGUCGGCCUGCGCGGAAGAUGUAACGGGGCUAAACCAUGCACCGAAGCUGCGGCAGCGACACUAUGUGUUGUUGGGUAGGGGAGCGUUCUGUAAGCCUGCGAAGGUGACCUGUGAGGGUUGCUGGAGGUAUCAGAAGUGCGAAUGCUGACAUAAGUAACGAUAAAGCGGGUGAAAAGCCCGCUCGCCGGAAGACCAAGGGUUCCUGUCCAACGUUAAUCGGGGCAGGGUGAGUCGACCCCUAAGGCGAGGCCGAAAGGCGUAGUCGAUGGGAAACAGGUUAAUAUUCCUGUACUUGGUGUUACUGCGAAGGGGGGACGGAGAAGGCUAUGUUAGCCGGGCGACGGUUGUCCCGGUUUAAGCAUGUAGGCUGAUUAUCCAGGCAAAUCCGGAUAAUCAAGGCUGAGGUGUGAUGACGAGGCACUACGGUGCUGAAGUAACAAAUGCCCUGCUUCCAGGAAAAGCCUCUAAGCAUCAGGUAACACGAAAUCGUACCCCAAACCGACACAGGUGGUCAGGUAGAGAAUACCAAGGCGCUUGAGAGAACUCGGGUGAAGGAACUAGGCAAAAUGGUGCCGUAACUUCGGGAGAAGGCACGCUGGUGUGUAGGUGAAGCCCCUGCGGGUGGAGCUGAGACCAGUCGAAGAUACCAGCUGGCUGCAACUGUUUAUUAAAAACACAGCACUGUGCAAACACGAAAGUGGACGUAUACGGUGUGACGCCUGCCCGGUGCCGGAAGGUUAAUUGAUGGGGUUAUCCGUAAGGAGAAGCUCUUGAUCGAAGCCCCGGUAAACGGCGGCCGUAACUAUAACGGUCCUAAGGUAGCGAAAUUCCUUGUCGGGUAAGUUCCGACCUGCACGAAUGGCGUAAUGAUGGCCAGGCUGUCUCCACCCGAGACUCAGUGAAAUUGAACUCGCUGUGAAGAUGCAGUGUACCCGCGGCAAGACGGAAAGACCCCGUGAACCUUUACUAUAGCUUGACACUGAACAUUGAGCCUUGAUGUGUAGGAUAGGUGGGAGGCUUUGAAGCGUGGACGCCAGUCUGCGUGGAGCCAACCUUGAAAUACCACCCUUUAAUGUUUGAUGUUCUAACGUUGGCCCCUGACCGGGGUUGCGGACAGUGUCUGGUGGGUAGUUUGACUGGGGCGGUCUCCUCCCAAAGCGUAACGGAGGAGCACGAAGGUUAGCUAAUCCUGGUCGGACAUCAGGAGGUUAGUGCAAUGGCAUAAGCUAGCUUGACUGCGAGCGUGACGGCGCGAGCAGGUGCGAAAGCAGGUCAUAGUGAUCCGGUGGUUCUGAAUGGAAGGGCCAUCGCUCAACGGAUAAAAGGUACUCCGGGGAUAACAGGCUGAUACCGCCCAAGAGUUCAUAUCGACGGCGGUGUUUGGCACCUCGAUGUCGGCUCAUCACAUCCUGGGGCUGAAGUAGGUCCCAAGGGUAUGGCUGUUCGCCAUUUAAAGUGGUACGCGAGCUGGGUUUAGAACGUCGUGAGACAGUUCGGUCCCUAUCUGCCGUGGGCGCUGGAGAAUUGAGGGGGGCUGCUCCUAGUACGAGAGGACCGGAGUGGACGCAUCACUGGUGUUCGGGUUGUCAUGCCAAUGGCACUGCCCGGUAGCUAAAUGCGGAAGAGAUAAGUGCUGAAAGCAUCUAAGCACGAAACUUGCCCCGAGAUGAGUUCUCCCUGAGACUUUAAGUCUCCUGAAGGAACGUUAAAGACGAUGACGUUGAUAGGCCGGGUGUGUAAGCGCAGCGAUGCGUUGAGCUAACCGGUACUAAUGAACCGUGAGGCUUAACCUU